GAAGCUUGACGGCUAGGGUUUCCUAGUCUCUCUAAAUCUCUGCAGAGCUUCGCUCAAGUUUCGGAAUGAGAGAAAAAAUGAGAGGAGGCAGCUUCAUUUAUAGGAAAAGAAUGAAACCCUAGGUCAUUUACCCUAAUGGGCUGCAGUCCUAACGGGCUCUCCUUAAGAAAUUUUUGGGCCAGGAACCGGACCGUUACAAUUCUCCCCCACUUGAAUGGAAUUCGUCCCUGAAUUAUGUGUGUCGAUACUACAACUCUAACAUCCCGAACCCAAAUGGGUAACCAACUCGUCCUUUGAAAUCUAAUGGUUCAUGCAACAUACCAGGUUCCAUAUUCCUCAGGGAGAUCCAACGUCCUCUUAAAUCCCAAAUCGAUUCUCCAACAGCGUUCAUCCCUAGAUUGCUUUCACCUCAUAUGCAUUUCCAUAUCACCACCACUCUGGUCGACGUAAUUCUCUGAUGGUCAUGUACCUCUUCAUCCUUUCAUAAAGCAGCUCACCAUCCACAAUUAUAUCUGCUAAGCGGUUUCUUGGAUCAUCUCAUGCUCGAGAUGCUGAUCUCCCCCACUU
Molecule: long non-coding RNA, 567 nt
Filed under: Brassica rapa (field mustard)
Lineage: Eukaryota; Viridiplantae; Streptophyta; Magnoliopsida; Brassicales; Brassicaceae
Description: long non-coding RNA (BRAP_LNC008062)
Source: RNAcentral